GGAGGAAAAGAAACCAACAGGGAUUGCCCUAGUAACGGCGAGUGAAGCGGCAACAGCUCAAAUUUGAAAUCUGGCGCAAGCCCGAGUUGUAAUUUGUAGAGGAUGCUUCUGGGCAGCGGCCGUUCUAAGUUCCUUGGAACAGGACGUCAUAGAGGGUGAGAAUCCCGUAUGUGACCGGCGCGCACCCUCCACGUAGCUCCUUCGACGAGUCGAGUUGUUUGGGAAUGCAGCUCUAAAUGGGAGGUAAAUUUCUUCUAAAGCUAAAUACCGGCCAGAGACCGAUAGCGCACAAGUAGAGUGAUCGAAAGAUGAAAAGCACUUUGGAAAGAGAGUUAAAAAGCACGUGAAAUUGUUGAAAGGGAAGCGCUUGCAACCAGACUUCGCGGCGGUGUUCCGCCGGUCUUUUGACCGGUCUACUCGCCGCCGCGAGGCCAACAUCGUCUGGGGCCGCCGGAUAAGACCAUGGGAAUGUGGCUCCCUCGGGAGUGUUAUAGCCCACGGUGAUGCGGCGUGUCCCGGGCGAGGUCCGCGCUUCGGCAAGGAUGUUGGCGUAAUGGUUGCCAGCGGCCCGUCUUGAAACACGGACCAAGGAGUCUAACAUCUAUGCGAGUGUUCGGGUGUCAAACCCCUACGCGUAAUGAAAGUGAACGGAGGUGGGAGCUUCGGCGCACCAUCGACCGAUCCUGAUGUCCUCGGAUGGAUUUGAGUAAGAGCAUAGCUGUUGGGACCCGAAAGAUGGUGAACUAUGCCUGAAUAGGGUGAAGCCAGAGGAAACUCUGGUGGAGGCUCGCAGCGGUUCUGACGUGCAAAUCGAUCGUCAAAUUUGGGUAUAGGGGCGAAAGACUAAUCGAACCA
RNAcentral lists this ribosomal RNA (855 nucleotides) under Paramycosphaerella marksii. RNAcentral's name for it is "eukaryotic LSU rRNA". It matches the Rfam family "Eukaryotic large subunit ribosomal RNA", at positions 52 to 942 of the family's 3401-position model. The record is from RNAcentral. Lineage: Eukaryota; Fungi; Ascomycota; Dothideomycetes; Mycosphaerellales; Mycosphaerellaceae.